Pimephales promelas (fathead minnow) is the source of this 664-nucleotide non-coding RNA. The record is from RefSeq and is a predicted model, not a curated record. Lineage: Eukaryota; Metazoa; Chordata; Actinopteri; Cypriniformes; Leuciscidae.
GAUCCUGCAGAUGAGAAGAUGACAGCUCUUAAUGUCACUUUAACAGCACAUAUUACAGCUCAACCGCAAAUAAAACCGACGCAAUCAAACGACACAUAAAUGAGGAACCGAGUACGGCACAAGACUCACCUGACACGGGAUGUGUUUGGAGCGUCCAGUCAUCAGAAGCAGAGCUGUGGGACGUGUGGGCAGACAUUGACUGUAAUGAUGGACUUCUGCUGAUGGACAGAAAGUCCAUCACACCUGCCUGGAAGUUUCAAGUAACCCUGAAGACCUUGAUGAUCUGCUUCAGGUGUUUUUCAUCAGGUUGGAGCUAAACUCAGGAAAGUGUCUCACCAGGAGCAGGAUCGGACACAAUUUUACUCUCUUUGCAUCUACUGCUGUUUUUAAAUGGAAAUGCAGAAACACUUAUUAUUGUCCACAAGGGGGAGCAGCUGACACACAAAUCCAUCUCACUCCCGUGUCUGUUAUAUUCAUCAGGAAAUUAAAAACACAAGUCUUAGUUGUUAUAGCAGCAGUGAUUAGUUUGUAGAUUACAUAAAAUACUUGUCAAAUGUAAUGUUGAUACAGGCUUUAAUGAAGGAUAUUUAUUUAAUCAAAUAACCAAUAAAUGUAUGAAGAGUGAUUAAUCCCUCCAUCCAGUCAUGGCCAGCCACGGUUAAAC